This 76-nucleotide transfer RNA is filed under the name Caudoviricetes sp. RNAcentral's name for it is "tRNA-Asn". It matches the Rfam family "tRNA". From Rfam's summary of the family: Transfer RNA (tRNA) molecules are approximately 80 nucleotides in length. Their secondary structure includes four short double-helical elements and three loops (D, anti-codon, and T loops). Lineage: Duplodnaviria; Heunggongvirae; Uroviricota; Caudoviricetes. The record is from RNAcentral.
GCCUCCUUAGCUCAGUUGGUGGAGCAUGCGGCUGUUAACCGCAGGGUCACUGGUUCAAGUCCAGUAGGAGGCGCCA